GCAUAAACGGUAGUUUACUCAAGUUGUGUACUAAUCGGAAGUGUUGUGGCUAACAUGGAUUAUCAUCAAAUGCGAGUUUGGGAGAUCCGAAAGUGAAAUAAACAGUGAAAAACAGUAAAUAUUGUGAGAAAACGUGGAGGCAGAUACGUACAGUUGUAGAAGUGGGAUGUGGAUAAUGAAAGCACAAGAAAAGGGUGUGAGUGAUAACUUUGGUGGUAAAACAAAUGCCUGAUUGAGGAAUGGAGAUUGGAGAUCUUUUUCCUAAGAUAAAAAAGCAUUAAAGUCAAGUUAAACGUGCCUAGUGAGGAGC
This 310-nucleotide unclassified non-coding RNA is filed under the name Hevea brasiliensis (rubber tree). The record is from RNAcentral. Lineage: Eukaryota; Viridiplantae; Streptophyta; Magnoliopsida; Malpighiales; Euphorbiaceae.